CAACCUCAACUCAUAUAGGACUACCCCCUGAAUUUAAGCAUAUUAAUUAGGGGAGGAAAAGAAACUAACAAGGAUUUUCUUAGUAGCGGCGAGCGAAAAGAAAUCAGUUCAGCACUAAGUCACUUUGUCUAUAUGGCAAAUGUGAGAUGCAGUGUAUGGAGCGUCAAUAUUCUAGUAUGAGAAAUUAACGAUUUAAGUCCUUCUUAAAUGAGGCCAUUUACCCAUAGAGGGUGCCAGGCCCGUAUAACGUUAAUGAUUACUAGAUGAUGUUUCCAAAGAGUCGUGUUGCUUGAUAGUGCAGCACUAAGUGGGUGGUAAACUCCAUCUAAAACUAAAUAUAACCAUGAGACCGAUAGUAAACAAGUACCGUGAGGGAAAGUUGAAAAGAACUCUGAAUAGAGAGUUAAACAGUACGUGAAACUGCUUAGAGGUUAAGCCCGAUGAACCUGAAUAUCCGUUAUGGAAAAUUCAUCAUUAGAAUUGUAAUAUUUAAACAAUAUUAUGAUAAUAGUGUGCAUUUUUUCCAUAUAAGGACAUUGUAAUCUAUUAGCAUACCAAAUUUAUCAUAAAAUAUAACUUAUAGUUUAUUCAAAUUAAUUUGCUUGCAUUUUAACACAGAAUAAAUGUUAUUAAUUUGAUAAAGUGCUGAUAGAUUUAUAUGAAUACAGUGCGUUAAUUUUUCGGAAUUAUAUAAUGGCAUAAUUAUCAUUGAUUUUUGUGUUUAUUAUAUGCACUUGUAGGAUUAACAAUGCGAAAGAUUCAGGAUACCUUCGGGACCCGUCUUGAAACACGGACCAAGGAGUCUAACAUAUGUGCAAGUUAUUGGGAUAUAAACCUAAUAGCGUAAUUAACUUGACUAAUAAUGGGAUUAGUUUUUUAACUAUUUAUAGCUAAUUAACACAAUCCCGGGGCGUUCUAUAUAGUUAUGUAUAAUGAUAUUUAUAUUAUUUAUGCCUCUAACUGGAACGUACCUUGAGCAUAUAUGCUGUGACCCGAAAGAUGGUGAACUAUACUUGAUCAGGUUGAAGUCAGGGGAAACCCUGAUGGAAGACCGAAACAGUUCUGACGUGCAAAUCGAUUGUCAGAAUUGAGUAUAGGGGCGAAAGACCAAUCGAACCAUCUAGUAGCUGGUUCCUUCCGAAGUUUCCCUCAGGAUAGCUGGUGCAUUUUAAUAUUAUAUAAAAUAAUCUUAUCUGGUAAAGCGAAUGAUUAGAGGCCUUAGGGUCGAAACGAUCUUAACCUAUUCUCAAACUUUAAAUGGGUAAGAACCUUAACUUUCUUGAUAUGAAGUUCAAGGUUAUGAUAUAAUGUGCCCAGUGGGCCACUUUUGGUAAGCAGAACUGGCGCUGUGGGAUGAACCAAACGUAAUGUUACGGUGCCCAAAUUAACAACUCAUGCAGAUACCAUGAAAGGCGUUGGUUGCUUAAAACAGCAGGACGGUGAUCAUGGAAGUCGAAAUCCGCUAAGGAGUGUGUAACAACUCACCUGCCGAAGCAACUAGCCCUUAAAAUGGAUGGCGCUUAAGUUGUAUACCUAUACAUUACCGCUAAAGUAGAUGAUUUAUAUUACUUGUAAUAUAAAUUUUGAAACUUUAGUGAGUAGGAAGGUACAAUGGUAUGCGUAGAAGUGUUUGGCGUAAGCCUGCAUGGAGCUGCCAUUGGUACAGAUCUUGGUGGUAGUAGCAAAUAAUCGAAUGAGACCUUGGAGGACUGAAGUGGAGAAGGGUUUCGUGUGAACAGUGGUUGAUCACGAGUUAGUCGGUCCUAAGUUCAAGGCGAAAGCCGAAAAUUUUCAAGUAAAAUACAAAUGCCAAACAAAUAUAUAUAUUAUAUAAAAUCUAGCUAAAUUAAUAUACUUGAAUAAUUUUGAACGAAAGGGAAUACGGUUCCAAUUCCGUAACCUGUUGAGUAUCCGUUUGUUAUUAAAUAUGGGCCUCGUGCUCAUCCUGGCAACAGGAACGACCAUAAAGAAGCCGUCGAGAGAUAUCGGAAGAGUUUUCUUUUCUGUUUUAUAGCCGUACUACCAUGGAAGUCUUUCGCAGAGAGAUAUGGUAGAUGGGCUAGAAGAGCAUGACAUAUACUGUUGUGUCGAUAUUUUCUCCUCGGACCUUGAAAAUUUAUGGUGGGGACACGCAAACUUCUCAACAGGCCGUACCAAUAUCCGCAGCUGGUCUCCAAGGUGAAGAGUCUCUAGUCGAUAGAAUAAUGUAGGUAAGGGAAGUCGGCAAAUUAGAUCCGUAACUUCGGGAUAAGGAUUGGCUCUGAAGAUUGAGAUAGUCGGGCUUGAUUGGGAAACAAUAACAUGGUUUAUGUGCUCGUUCUGGGUAAAUAGAGUUUCUAGCAUUUAUGUUAGUUACUUGUUCCCCGGAUAGUUUAGUUACGUAGCCAAUUGUGGAACUUUCUUGCUAAAAUUUUUAAGAAUACUAAUUGGGUUAAACCAAUUAGUUCUUAUUAAUUAUAACGAUUAUCAAUUAACAAUCAAUUCAGAACUGGCACGGACUUGGGGAAUCCGACUGUCUAAUUAAAACAAAGCAUUGUGAUGGCCCUAGCGGGUGUUGACACAAUGUGAUUUCUGCCCAGUGCUCUGAAUGUCAAAGUGAAGAAAUUCAAGUAAGCGCGGGUCAACGGCGGGAGUAACUAUGACUCUCUUAAGGUAGCCAAAUGCCUCGUCAUCUAAUUAGUGACGCGCAUGAAUGGAUUAACGAGAUUCCUACUGUCCCUAUCUACUAUCUAGCGAAACCACAGCCAAGGGAACGGGCUUGGAAUAAUUAGCGGGGAAAGAAGACCCUUUUGAGCUUGACUCUAAUCUGGCAGUGUAAGGAGACAUAAGAGGUGUAGAAUAAGUGGGAGAUAUUAGACCUCGGUUUGGUAUCGCCAAUGAAAUACCACUACUCUUAUUGUUUCCUUACUUACUUGAUUAAAUGGAACGUGUAUCAUUUCCUAGCCAUUAUACGGAUAUAUUUAUUAUAUCUUAUGGUAUUGGGUUUUGAUGCAAGCUUCUUGAUCAAAGUAUCACGAGUUUGUUAUAUAAUCGCAAACAAAUUCUUUAAUAAAACGGUGCAUUUAUGUAUUUUUGAUUUGAAAAUUUGGUAUAACUCCAAUUACUCAGGUAUGAUCCAAUUCAAGGACAUUGCCAGGUAGGGAGUUUGACUGGGGCGGUACAUCUCUCAAAUAAUAACGGAGGUGUCCCAAGGCCAGCUCAGUGCGGACAGAAACCACACAUAGAGCAAAAGGGCAAAUGCUGACUUGAUCUCGGUGUUCAGUACACACAGGGACAGCAAAAGCUCGGCCUAUCGAUCCUUUUGGUUUAAAGAGUUUUUAACAAGAGGUGUCAGAAAAGUUACCAUAGGGAUAACUGGCUUGUGGCGGCCAAGCGUUCAUAGCGACGUCGCUUUUUGAUCCUUCGAUGUCGGCUCUUCCUAUCAUUGUGAAGCAAAAUUCACCAAGCGUUGGAUUGUUCACCCAUGCAAGGGAACGUGAGCUGGGUUUAGACCGUCGUGAGACAGGUUAGUUUUACCCUACUAAUGACAAAACGUUGUUGCGACAGCAUUCCUGCGUAGUACGAGAGGAACCGCAGGUACGGACCAAUGGCACAAUACUUGUUCGAGCGAACAGUGGUAUGACGCUACGUCCGUUGGAUUAUGCCUGAACGCCUCUAAGGUCGUAUCCGUGCUGGACUGCAAUGAUAAAUAAGGGGCAAUUUGCAUUGUAUGGCUUCUAAACCAUUUAAAGUUUAUAAUUUACUUUUUAAACGACAAUGGAUGUGAUGCCAAUGUAAUUUGUAACAUAGUAAAUUGGGAGGAUCUUUGAUCACCUGAUGCCGCGCUAGUUACAUAUAAAAGCAUUAUUUAAUACAAUGACAAAGCCUAGAAUCAAUUGUAAACGACUUUUGUAACAGGCAAGGUGUUGUAAGUGGUUGAGCAGCUGCCAUACUGCGAUCCACUGAAGCUUAUCCUUUGCUUGAUGAUUCGA
Molecule: ribosomal RNA, 3971 nt
Organism: Drosophila biarmipes
Lineage: Eukaryota; Metazoa; Arthropoda; Insecta; Diptera; Drosophilidae
Source: RefSeq, a predicted model, not a curated record